GGGUUCAAUGGCAGAACAUCUGCUUCGCAUACAGAAAUUCCUAGGUUAGAUCCCUGGCA
RNAcentral lists this transfer RNA (59 nucleotides) under Sphaerodactylus townsendi. RNAcentral's name for it is "tRNA-Ala". The record is from RNAcentral. Lineage: Eukaryota; Metazoa; Chordata; Lepidosauria; Squamata; Sphaerodactylidae.